Molecule: ribosomal RNA, 234 nt
Filed under: uncultured bacterium
Lineage: Bacteria
Description: partial 16S ribosomal RNA
Rfam family: Bacterial small subunit ribosomal RNA
Source: RNAcentral
UGGGCAAUCUGCCCUUCACUCUGGGACAAGCCCUGGAAACGGGGUCUAAUACCGGAUAACACUCUGUCCCUCAUGGGACGGGGUUAAAAGCUCCGGCGGUGAAGGAUGAGCCCGCGGCCUAUCAGCUUGUUGGUGGGGUAAUGGCCUACCAAGGCGACGACGGGUAGCCGGCCUGAGAGGGCGACCGGCCACACUGGGACUGAGACACGGCCCAGACCUCCGUACGGGAGGCAG